GUUGAUUUUGUAUUUUUUCAUGGUAGAAUUAAGAUUUAACUACAUGUUCUGCAUUUUUGCCAACAUAAAUCAUUGAUUUUACUGUUGCAGAUAAGAGUUUUCAGGAUAGAAAUUCGUGUAACUGUGUUGCUGUAAAACAGAUAGUUGUGACUAAUGUCUAAAAACGUCUACUGCAUUAAAAUAUAUGGCAGUUAUUUCAAGUUGAUUGGCAUUUGUGCUUGUUAAAAUAAAUUCUAAGACAGUCAUCUGCAAAUCUCGGAUUUUGACACCCUCAAAAUUUGAAUGUCUAAUCCAGCUUGACUUUGGAAACAAAUUAAAAUGCAUACACAAAUACAUUUUUAUACGACCGCAAAAUUUUGGUAUGAUGUCGUCGUCUGCAUCAUCGUCAUCCUCGUCCGAAGACACAUUUGGUGUCUGGACAAUAACUUUAGUUUAAGUUAAUGGAUCUCUAUGAAAUUUUAUAAAAAGGUUCAAUACCUCAAAAGGAAGGUUGGGAUAGAAUUUGGGGAUGAUUGUCUCUACCAUUUUGGAAUAGGGGGUCCAAAAGAAGCAUUUUCUACUUUCAGAAUAUCAACUUGUGUAUAAGCAUUUUAAUUGGUCUGAAAUUGAACCACAAUGUUUAAUACCACAGGUAGAAGGUUUGGAUUGAUUUUGAGGGUUAUGGUCCUUAAUGUAGGAAUUGGAGGCAAAAAAAUGGGCCAAAAUAAGCAUUUUUUAGUUUUCAGUCAAUAACUUGUGUUUAAGUGUAUAAAUCUCUCUGAAAUUAUACCACAAGUUAUAAUUGUUACCAUAACCCCCUCUUAACCAAGGGACCAAGGGAUGGUUAAGGGGGGUUAUGGUUCAAAUCAUCAAGCAGUUAGGGCCAAAAAAGGGGGAAAACAAGGGUUUUUCUGGUUAAAGGACAAUUUAAGAAAUUUAAAAUCAGUGAAGGGGAGGUAAUCCAAUUAAAAUUUAAAGAACACUGUUAUAUAUAUAUAUGUUUGAUUACUUGAUUACCUAUCUUACACUGCUUGAAAAUUAUGUAUUAAGAAAUGAUGAUUGUCUUGAGAUGUGUAGCUGUAAAUUUAUUUUUUAAGUUACUGUUUAUUAAUAUUAAUUUUAACCAUGACUGUAUGUCAUUUUAUAUUUUAAUAUUUUAUGAUGUAUUUAAAUGAGUAGUUAUUGUUGCCAACUCCAUUAGAAAUUUGAAUUGAGAUAAAAAAAAAAAUUGAGGGGAUUAUGAUGUGUCAACUACUUAAUUACAAUCCAAAUUCAGAGCUGUAUCAAGCUUGAAUGUUGUGUCCAUACUUGCCCCAACUGUUCAGGGUUCAACCACUGCGGUCGUAUAAAGCUGUGCCCGGUGGAGCAUUAUCUGGUUGUAUUAUGUCUUUUAUUUUGGUUAUGAACAACAGCCUUGUUAUGGUUUUCAAUGUUUUAAUAAAGUUGAUGAAGGUCAUAUGGUUUUCUUUGUUUGUAUGUUCUUGUAAAUAUGUGUUAAAUUAGGGGUGAAAGAUACCAGAGGGACAUUCAAACUCAUAGAUCGAAAGUAAACUGACAACACCAUUGCUAAAAAAGAAAAAGUCAAACCGACAAAUAAUGGUACAUAAGACACAACAUAGAAAACUAAAGACUUAGCAACACAAACC
RNAcentral lists this long non-coding RNA (1625 nucleotides) under Mytilus galloprovincialis (Mediterranean mussel). The record is from RNAcentral. Lineage: Eukaryota; Metazoa; Mollusca; Bivalvia; Mytilida; Mytilidae.